This 1121-nucleotide ribosomal RNA is filed under the name Lentilactobacillus hilgardii. RNAcentral describes it as "bacterial SSU rRNA". It matches the Rfam family "Bacterial small subunit ribosomal RNA", at positions 297 to 1428 of the family's 1533-position model. The record is from RNAcentral. Lineage: Bacteria; Bacillati; Bacillota; Bacilli; Lactobacillales; Lactobacillaceae.
AGCUAUUCGGUCCACAUCGGAACUGAAAACGGUCCAUCCUACGAGGCAGCGAUGGAUCUGCACAUGACGGAGGUCUGAUGGAGCACGCCGCUGAUGGAUGAUGGAUUCCGACUCGUAAACUUCUGUUGUGAGAGACGGGUGUCAGAGUACUGUUGACAUCGUGACGGUAUCCAACCAGAAAGCCACGGCUAACUACGUGCCAGCAGCCGCGGUAAUACGUAGGUGGCAAGCGUUGUCCGGGAUUUAUUGGGCGUAAAGCGAGCGCAGGCGGUUUUUUUAGGUCUGAUGUGAAAGCCUUCGGCUUAACCGGAGAAGUGCAUCGGAAACCGGGAGACUUGAGUGCAGAAGAGGACAGUGGAACUCCAUGUGUAGCGGUGAAAUGCGUAGAUAUAUGGAAGAACACCAGUGGCGAAGGCGGCUGUCUGGUCUGCAACUGACGCUGAGGCUCGAAAGCAUGGGUAGCGAACAGGAUUAGAUACCCUGGUAGUCCAUGCCGUAAACGAUGAGUGCUAAGUGUUGGAGGGUUUCCGCCCUUCAGUGCUGCAGCUAACGCAUUAAGCACUCCGCCUGGGGAGUACGACCGCAAGGUUGAAACUCAAAGGAAUUGACGGGGGCCCGCACAAGCGGUGGAGCAUGUGGUUUAAUUCGAUGCUACGCGAAGAACCUUACCAGGUCUUGACAUCUUCUGCUAACCUAAGAGAUUAGGCGUUCCCUUCGGGGACGGAAUGACAGGUGGUGCAUGGUUGUCGUCAGCUCGUGUCGUGAGAUGUUGGGUUAAGUCCCGCAACGAGCGCAACCCUUAUUGUCAGUUGCCAGCAUUUAGUUGGGCACUCUGGCGAGACUGCCGGUGACAAACCGGAGGAAGGUGGGGAUGACGUCAAAUCAUCAUGCCCCUUAUGACCUGGGCUACACACGUGCUACAAUGGACGGUACAACGAGUCGCGAAACCGCGAGGUCAAGCUAAUCUCUUAAAGCCGUUCUCAGUUCGGAUUGUAGGCUGCAACUCGCCUACAUGAAGUUGGAAUCGCUAGUAAUCGUGGAUCAGCAUGCCACGGUGAAUACGUUCCCGGGCCUUGUACACACCGCCCGUCACACCAUGAGAGUUUGUAACACCCAAAGCC